RNAcentral lists this ribosomal RNA (468 nucleotides) under uncultured bacterium. RNAcentral describes it as "partial 16S ribosomal RNA". It matches the Rfam family "Bacterial small subunit ribosomal RNA", at positions 28 to 507 of the family's 1533-position model. The record is from RNAcentral.
GACGAACGCUGGCGGCGUGCUUAACACAUGCAAGUCGAACGGCAAGGCCCUGCUUUUGUGGGGUGCUCGAGUGGCGAACGGGUGAGUAACACGUGAGUAACCUGCCCUUGACUUUGGGAUAACUUCAGGAAACUGGGGCUAAUACCGGAUAGGAGCUCCUGCUGCAUGGUGGGGGUUGGAAAGUUUCGGCGGUUGGGGAUGGACUCGCGGCUUAUCAGCUUGUUGGUGGGGUAGUGGCUUACCAAGGCUUUGACGGGUAGCCGGCCUGAGAGGGUGACCGGCCACAUUGGGACUGAGAGACGGCCCAGACUCCAACGGGAGGCAGCAGUGGGGAAUAUGGCACAAUGGGCGGAAGCCUGAUGCAGCAACGCCGCGUGCGGGAUGACGGCCUUCGGGUUGUAAACCGCUUUCGCCUGUGACGAAGCGUGAGUGACGGUAAUGGGUAAAGAAGCACCGGCUAACUACGUG